RNAcentral lists this transfer RNA (71 nucleotides) under Stachyamoeba lipophora. RNAcentral's name for it is "tRNA-Phe". It matches the Rfam family "tRNA". From Rfam's summary of the family: Transfer RNA (tRNA) molecules are approximately 80 nucleotides in length. Their secondary structure includes four short double-helical elements and three loops (D, anti-codon, and T loops). The record is from RNAcentral. Lineage: Eukaryota; Heterolobosea; Gruberellidae.
AAUUGGAUAGCUUAGUGGCAAAGCAUUGGACUGAAAAUCCUUGUACAGUAGUUCGAUUCUACUUCCAAACA